This 1343-nucleotide ribosomal RNA is filed under the name metagenome. RNAcentral describes it as "bacterial LSU rRNA". It matches the Rfam family "Bacterial large subunit ribosomal RNA", at positions 1564 to 2912 of the family's 2925-position model. The record is from RNAcentral.
UGAGUACGAGCUGCUACGGCAGCGAAGUGGGUGAUGUCAUGCUUCCAAGAAAAGCCCUAUACCCGUUAAGGCAUGACGGCCUGUACCCGAAACCGACACAGGUGGGGUGGUAGAGAAUACCGAGGGGCGCGAGGUAACUCUCUCUAAGGAACUCGGCAAAAUGGCCCCGUAACUUCGGGAGAAGGGGUGCCACCGCAAGGUGGUCGCAGUGAAGAGGCCCAGGCGACUGUUUACCAAAAACACAGGUCUCCGCUAAGUCGCAAGACGAUGUAUGGGGGCUGACGCCUGCCCAGUGCCGGAAGGUUAAGGAAGCUGGUCAGCGUAAGCGAAGCUAGCGACUGAAGCCCCGGUGAACGGCGGCCGUAACUAUAACGGUCCUAAGGUAGCGAAAUUCCUUGUCGGGUAAGUUCCGACCCGCACGAAAGGCGUAACGAUCUGGGCGCUGUCUCGGAGAGAGGCUCGGCGAAAUAGAAUUGUCUGUGAAGAUGCGGACUACGUGCACCCGGACAGAAAGACCCUAUGAAGCUUUACUGUAGCUUGGUAUUGUGCUCGGGCUCGGAAUGCGCAGGAUAGGUGGGAGGCUAUGAACCAUUGCUUGCGGGUGAUGGUGAGCCACUGGUGAGAUACCACUCUUUCCGAGCUAGAGUUCUAACAGCCACCCGUUAUCCGGGGGCUGGACAGUAUCAGGUGGCAGUUUGACUGGGGCGGUCGCCUCCUAAAAGGUAACGGAGGCGCGCAAAGGUUUGCUCAGGCUGGUUGGAAAUCAGCCGACGAGUGUAAAAGCAGAAGCAAGCUUGACUGUGAGACCUACAAGUCGAACAGGGAGGAAACUCGGCUUUAGUGAUCCGACGGUUCUGCGUGGAAGGGCCGUCGCUCAACGGAUAAAAGUUACUCUAAGGAUAACAGGCUGAUCUCCCCCAAGAGUUCACAUCGACGGGGAGGUUUGGCACCUCGAUGUCGGCUCAUCGCAACCUGGGGCUGAAGUCGGUCCCAAGGGUUGGGCUGUUCGCCCAUUAAAGCGGUACGCGAGCUGGGUUCAGAACGUCGUGAGACAGUUCGGUCCAUAUCCGGUGCAUGCGCAGGAAUAUUGAGAGGAUUUCUCCCUAGUACGAGAGGACCGGGAGGAACGCACCUCUGGUGUACCAGUUAUCGUGCCAACGGUAAACGCUGGGUAGCCAUGUGCGGAGAGGAUAACCGCUGAAAGCAUCUAAGUGGGAAGCCCACCUCAAGAUGAGUAUUCCCAUGGGGUAACCCAGUAAGGUCACGGGAAGAACACCCGUUGAUAGGCUCUACGUGGAAGCGCAGUAAUGUGUGAAGCGGAGGAGUACUAAUAGACCGAGGGC